UGAUGGUAAAUACCGAGUGUCGACUGGAUUGAAGGAUGCAAAGUAUUGAUCCUGGGUGUGUCUGUGAGGGUGUUGCCAAAGGAGGUUAACAUUUGAGUCAGUGGGCUGGGGAAGGCAGAUCCAACCUCAAUCUGGUGCGCCAUCUAAUAAGCUGCCAAUGAAUAUAAAGCAGGCAGAAAAACAUAAGAAGGUGAGACUGGCCUAGCCUCCCAGCCUGCAUCUUUCUCCCAUGCUGAAUGCUUCCUGUCCUCGAACAUCAGACUCCAAGUUCUUUAGUUUUGAGACUCGGACUGGCUUCCUUGCUCCUCAAGCUUGCAGACAGCCUAUUGUGGGACCUUGUGAUCAUAGAUCCUUGAUUAAUACAGAUGGGGUCCCACUAUGCUGCCCAGGCUGCUUUCAAACAGGGUCUUAACUCUGUCACCCAGGCUGGAGUGCAGUGGUGUGACCACAGCCACUGCAGGCUCAACCUCUGGGACUCAGGUGAUCCUCCCAUCUCAGCCUCCCAAGUAGCUGGGACUACAGGUUGCUUCUUCCAGAUCCCUUUUGAUCUACUUUCAGCUAUGGAUUCAUGAGAAUCAAGACUAAGCAGCCUGAAUUGAAGGAGUAACAGUAUCACCUAACAAUGAUUUUGCUGCCAUAGUAGCUGUUUGUAUACUGGCCAUAUGCCUAGGUAAAAUGAGGCCAGAUCACUCUCAAGAGUUUUCUAUCAGAGUUGGUGGUGAACUACUGCUCACGGAUAAUGACGAGAAACCCCAGCUGAGGAGGCAAAUAUACUCAAGGAAAGUAAUAGUUUCCAAAUGCCUGGCAGUGCCAGGAAGGGGCCAUGUCCAUGGACCACUAUGUAAGGAUAUCUCAGUCUCUAGUCCAGCGUGGUUUAUGGUGCCAAAUAAGUGCCAGGUGAACUCACUACAUCUGACAAAAUCUCAAGGAACCAAGUUUACCAGAUAAUAUUUAUGAUUAUGUGAAAAAGACUGAGGAAAUCACUCAAGUGAUCCAUCAUACAGCACCUCCAGUUCCAAAGAAUACUGACUUACUUCAGCUGUACUGGUCUGGAGCUGCACAUUCUUUUCAGACAACUCUUGUUCCAGCUAGAGUGCAAUGGUGCAACCUCAGCUCACUGCAACCUCCGCUUCCCAGGUUCAAGCGAUUCUCCUGCUUCAGCCUCCCUGGUUGCUGGGAUUACAGGUGCUCAUCACCAUGUGCAGCUAAUUUUUUGUAUUUUUAGUAGAGACAGGGUUUUACCAUGUUGCCCAGGCUGGUCUCGAACUCCUGACCUCAGGUGAUCCACCCACCUCAGCCCCCCAAAGUUCUGAGAUUACAGACGUGAGACACUGCACCCGACCGGGGUGUUCAUUUUCUAAAAUCUUAAGUUGAAUGCCUUUUAAAAAAAAAAAGUCUAUUUAAACUCUGAGUUUACUGCCAAGAAUUGCCUUGACUAGGUUUUCAGAGGCAGUAUUUUUCUUUUUCCUUAUUUUCUAAAUUGAACUUUUCUUUCUUGGCUUACAUUCUACAUUGUAGAAUUAUGUUACAAUUUACUAGGGGUUGAGAUGUGGUGUGUUUAAACAUAUGAUUGGUUGGCUUAAACAUAUAAUUUGUUUUUACUUGUAUU
This 1609-nucleotide long non-coding RNA is filed under the name Homo sapiens (human). Its description in RNAcentral is "PREDICTED lncRNA (TCONS_00261005)". The record is from RNAcentral. Lineage: Eukaryota; Metazoa; Chordata; Mammalia; Primates; Hominidae.